UAUUGGUGAGUAAAAUUAGACAAAAACAUGUAUACAUUUUUAAAAAUAACAAAGUAAAUAGUUUUAUUUUAUUAAGACAGCGUAUAGUUUUGUAGUUUCCUUUUUGAUUGGCUCACGGGCCUAUGGAACAUUCAUCAGCCAAUCAAAUUGCACGAUAGAGUGAUGUUGUGGUUGGCGGUAAUUUUCACUCUCUGGUAGACGGUGGUGUAUCAGUGAGAUCCUGCAGCUCGGGUCUCUACAGCUCUGUCCGCGGUAAAAGAGAGUCACAGUUAGUAAAAGUUCAACAAAACACUGUGAAUAAGCAGGUUUACUCACUGAGAGCUGAAAAUGAAGCUUCUUUACCGUCCAGCCCGCGAAAAUGUACUGUGAACUACCUGCAUUGGUCGGGUUUUUGUGCAAGGGAGAGAUUAGAUUUUGGUCCAUUGAGAUCAAUUGGAUGGGGAGCCAAGCCAAGCCAAGCUCGGACCAUUGAACCAGGACACUUUUCUGCAUGCAGCAAACUGAACAAGUGGAUCCCGGGACUCGUUCACCUCAGACACUGAGAAAAUUCACUUCAAAAUGCGCCUGCUGGUGAUGCUGGCUAACUCUUGUGGUGAACAUUGAGGCAGUCUUAUGCGUAAGUCUCCCCUGCCAGUACACAGCAUCUCCCUCGCCAAGACUCCUGCCAGGCCUGCUUUCGGUCUCACACACGGUAACUGGGUGCUCUGUACCUCCAGGCUAACUUGGAAGGGGAUCCCAGAGCUGCUGUGGUCAACAGAGGCUGUUUAUAGCCAAC
Molecule: long non-coding RNA, 775 nt
Filed under: Astyanax mexicanus (Mexican tetra)
Lineage: Eukaryota; Metazoa; Chordata; Actinopteri; Characiformes; Acestrorhamphidae
Description: lncRNA (ENSAMXG00005016275.1)
Source: RNAcentral